Molecule: ribosomal RNA, 250 nt
Filed under: Streptomyces sp. SID14478
Lineage: Bacteria; Bacillati; Actinomycetota; Actinomycetes; Kitasatosporales; Streptomycetaceae
Description: partial 16S ribosomal RNA
Rfam family: Bacterial small subunit ribosomal RNA
Source: RNAcentral
CAUUCACGGAGAGUUUGAUCCUGGCUCAGGACGAACGCUGGCGGCGUGCUUAACACAUGCAAGUCGAACGAUGAAGCCCUUCGGGGUGGAUUAGUGGCGAACGGGUGAGUAACACGUGGGCAAUCUGCCCUUCACUCUGGGACAAGCCCUGGAAACGGGGUCUAAUACCGGAUAACACUCCCGCACUCCUGUGCGGGGGUUAAAAGCUCCGGCGGUGAAGGAUGAGCCCGCGGCCUAUCAGCUUGUUGGU